The sequence is a transfer RNA, 83 nucleotides long. It matches the Rfam family "tRNA". Rfam says of the family: Transfer RNA (tRNA) molecules are approximately 80 nucleotides in length. Their secondary structure includes four short double-helical elements and three loops (D, anti-codon, and T loops). The record is from Rfam.
GCAGAGGUGGCGGAAUGGCAGACGCGCUAGAUUCAGGUUCUAGUGCCCGCAAGGGUGUGGGGGUUCGAGUCCCCUUCUCUGUA